This 253-nucleotide ribosomal RNA is filed under the name uncultured bacterium. RNAcentral's name for it is "partial 16S ribosomal RNA". It matches the Rfam family "Bacterial small subunit ribosomal RNA", at positions 524 to 776 of the family's 1533-position model. The record is from RNAcentral.
UACGAAGGGGGCUAGCGUUGUUCGGAAUCACUGGGCGUAAAGGGCGCGUAGGCGGCUGUUCAAGUCUGGGGUGAAAUCCCGUGGCUCAACCACGGAAUGGCCUUCGAUACUGGACGGCUAGAGACCGGAAGAGGUGAGUGGAACUGCGAGUGUAGAGGUGAAAUUCGUAGAUAUUCGCAAGAACACCAGUGGCGAAGGCGGCUCACUGGUCCGGUUCUGACGCUGAGGCGCGAAAGCGUGGGGAGCAAACAGG